UUUACUCCUGGUGCGGAGCCUGACAUUUGCUGCAUAUUAAAUUUCUUUGAUGAUUGAAUAGAAUGUGUACCAUCAACCAAGCUGAAAUUUCUAAAGCAUAGCAUGAUUAAAACCAACUGAUAAAAUUUACCCUGUCUAUUCGCAUGUUCAUAGCCGGCUGACCAAGAGACUUGGACUGCCCAAAAUACCCUUGGUUUCCUACAGAACUCUGCUCCAAUGNNN
Molecule: long non-coding RNA, 222 nt
Filed under: Capsella rubella
Lineage: Eukaryota; Viridiplantae; Streptophyta; Magnoliopsida; Brassicales; Brassicaceae
Description: long non-coding RNA (CRUB_LNC000021)
Source: RNAcentral